AGCGAACGCUGGCGGCAGGCCUAACACAUGCAAGUCGAACGAACUCUUCGGAGUUAGUGGCGGACGGGUGAGUAACACGUGGGAACGUGCCUUUAGGUUCGGAAUAACUCAGGGAAACUUGUGCUAAUACCGAAUGUGCCCUUCGGGGGAAAGAUUUAUCGCCUUUAGAGCGGCCCGCGUCUGAUUAGCUAGUUGGUGAGGUAAAGGCUCACCAAGGCGACGAUCAGUAGCUGGUCUGAGAGGAUGAUCAGCCACAUUGGGACUGAGACACGGCCCAGACUCCUACGGGAAGCAGCAGUGGGGAAUCUUGGGCAAUGGGCGAAAGCCUGACGUAGCCAUGCCGCGUGAAUGAUGAAGGUCUUAGGAUUGUAAAAUUCUUUCACCGGGGACGAUAAUGACGGUACCCGGAGAAGAAGCCCCGGCUAACUUCGUG
Molecule: ribosomal RNA, 433 nt
Filed under: uncultured bacterium
Lineage: Bacteria
Description: partial 16S ribosomal RNA
Rfam family: Bacterial small subunit ribosomal RNA
Source: RNAcentral